CGAAGGGUAGCUUAAACAAAGCAUUUCGCUUACACCGAAAAAAUAUCUGUUAAAACCCAGAUCCACUCGAG
Molecule: transfer RNA, 71 nt
Filed under: Hyalinobatrachium sp. QCAZ 10801
Lineage: Eukaryota; Metazoa; Chordata; Amphibia; Anura; Centrolenidae
Description: tRNA-Val
Rfam family: tRNA
About the family: Transfer RNA (tRNA) molecules are approximately 80 nucleotides in length.
Source: RNAcentral